CACAGGGAGGUAGUGACAGGAAAUAACAAUGCAGGGCCUUUUGGUUUUGCAAUUGGAAUGAGAACAAUUUAAAUCCCUUAUCGAGUAACAAUUGGAGGGCAAGUCUGGUGCCAGCAGCCGCGGUAAUUCCAGCUCCAAUAGCGUAUAUUAAAGUUGUUGCAGUUAAAAAGCUCGUAGUUGAACCUUGGGCGCGGUGCAUCAGGUCGACCGCAAGGUCUGACUUGGUCGCCAAGCCUCUUUUGAGGGACUCGUCGUUCUGCGGCGAGGCAACUCAUGUUACUGUGAAGAAAUUAGAGUGUUUAAAGCAGGCUAUCGCUUGAAUACAUCAGCAUGGAAUAACAAGAUAUGACAUUAGUCUUCUUGUUGGUUUGGAGAUCAAUGUAAUGAUUAAUAGGGCCAGUUGGGGGCAUUAGUAUUCAGUAGUCAGAGGUGAAAUUCUUGGAUUUACUGAGGACUAACUAGUGCGAAAGCAUUUGCCAAGGAUGUUUUCAUUAAUCAAGAACGAAAGUUAGGGGACCGAAGACGAUCAGAUACCGUCGUAGUCUUAACUAUAAACGAUGCCGACUAAGGAUCGGCAGAAGUCGUUAGCGACUCUGUCGGCACUUUGUGAGAAAUCAAAGUUUUUGGGUUCUGGGGGGAGUAUGGUCGCAAGGCUGAAACUUAAAGGAAUUGACGGAAGGGCACCACCAGGAGUGGAGCCUGCGGCUUAAUUUGACUCAACACGGGAAAACUCACCAGGUCCGGACAUAGUAAGGAUUGACAGAUUGAGAGCUCUUUCUUGAUUCUGUGGGUGGUGGUGCAUGGCCGUUCUUAGUUGGUGGAGUGAUUUGUCUGGUUAAUUCCGAUAACGAACGAGACCUUAACCUGCUAACUAGUUGCUAGUACGUGAGUAUUUGCAUACUUCUUAGAGGGACUGACUACGCUUAGUAGUCGGAAGUUUGAGGCAAUAACAGGUCUGUGAUGCCCUUAGAUGUUCUGGGCUGCACGCGCGCUACACUGACAAAGCCAGCGAGUCUACCUUGGCCGAGAGGCCUGGGAAAUCUUGUGAAACUUUGUCGUGCUGGGGAUAGAUCAUUGCAAUUAUUGGUCUUGAACGAGGAAUUCCUAGUAAGCGCAUGUCAUUAGCAUGCGUUGAUUACGUCCCUGCCCUUUGUACACACCGCCGUCGCUACUACCGAUU
This 1180-nucleotide ribosomal RNA is filed under the name uncultured Rozellomycota. RNAcentral's name for it is "SSU rRNA". It matches the Rfam family "Eukaryotic small subunit ribosomal RNA", at positions 455 to 1690 of the family's 1831-position model. The record is from RNAcentral. Lineage: Eukaryota; Fungi; Rozellomycota.